This 519-nucleotide ribosomal RNA is filed under the name Salmonella enterica subsp. arizonae. RNAcentral describes it as "bacterial SSU rRNA". It matches the Rfam family "Bacterial small subunit ribosomal RNA", at positions 1003 to 1522 of the family's 1533-position model. The record is from RNAcentral. Lineage: Bacteria; Pseudomonadati; Pseudomonadota; Gammaproteobacteria; Enterobacterales; Enterobacteriaceae.
GAGAUACGGGGGUGCCUUCGGGAGCUGUGAGACAGGUGCUGCAUGGCUGUCGUCAGCUCGUGUUGUGAAAUGUUGGGUUAAGUCCCGCAACGAGCGCAACCCUUAUCCUUUGUUGCCAGCGGUCCGGCCGGGAACUCAAAGGAGACUGCCAGUGAUAAACUGGAGGAAGGUGGGGAUGACGUCAAGUCAUCAUGGCCCUUACGACCAGGGCUACACACGUGCUACAAUGGCGCAUACAAAGAGAAGCGACCUCGCGAGAGCAAGCGGACCUCAUAAAGUGCGUCGUAGUCCGGACUGGAGUCUGCAACUCGACUCCAUGAAGUCGGAAUCGCUAGUAAUCGUGGAUCAGAAUGCCACGGUGAAUACGUUCCCGGGCCUUGUACACACCGCCCGUCACACCAUGGGAGUGGGUUGCAAAAGAAGUAGGUAGCUUAACCUUCGGGAGGGCGCUUACCACUUUGUGAUUCAUGACUGGGGUGAAGUCGUAACAAGGUAACCGUAGGGGAACCUGCGGUUGGA